GCGAGUUACGAUUUGAUGCAAGGUUAAGCAGUAAAUGUGGAGCCGUAGCGAAAGCGAGUCUGAAUAGGGCGUUUAGUAUUUGGUCGUAGACCCGAAACCAGGUGAUCUACCCUUGGUCAGGUUGAAGUUCAGGUAACACUGAAUGGAGGACCGAACCGACUUACGUUGAAAAGUGAGCGGAUGAACUGAGGGUAGCGGAGAAAUUCCAAUCGAACCUGGAGAUAGCUGGUUCUCUCCGAAAUAGCUUUAGGGCUAGCCUCAAGUGAUGAUUAUUGGAGGUAGAGCACUGUUUGGACGAGGGGCCCCUCUCGGGUUACCGAAUUCAGACAAACUCCGAAUGCCAAUUAAUUUAACUUGGGAGUCAGAACAUGGGUGAUAAGGUCCGUGUUCGAAAGGGAAACAGCCCAGACCACCAGCUAAGGUCCCAAAAUAUAUGUUAAGUGGAAAAGGAUGUGGCGUUGCCCAGACAACUAGGAUGUUGGCUUAGAAGCAGCCAUCAUUUAAAGAGUGCGUAAUAGCUCACUAGUCGAGUGACACUGCGCCGAAAAUGUACCGGGGCUAAACAUAUUACCGAAGCUGUGGAUUGUCCUUUGGACAAUGGUAGGAGAGCGUUCUAAGGGCGUUGAAGCAUGAUCGUAAGGACAUGUGGAGCGCUUAGAAGUGAG
RNAcentral lists this ribosomal RNA (665 nucleotides) under Staphylococcus aureus. RNAcentral describes it as "partial 23S ribosomal RNA". It matches the Rfam family "Bacterial large subunit ribosomal RNA", at positions 623 to 1292 of the family's 2925-position model. The record is from RNAcentral. Lineage: Bacteria; Bacillati; Bacillota; Bacilli; Caryophanales; Staphylococcaceae.